Molecule: long non-coding RNA, 481 nt
Filed under: Physcomitrium patens
Lineage: Eukaryota; Viridiplantae; Streptophyta; Bryopsida; Funariales; Funariaceae
Description: long non-coding RNA (PPAT_LNC002091)
Source: RNAcentral
AAGAAACUUUAGAAAUUUAUAACUCUUCAUCUAAUUAUUUAAUUUAUUUCAAAUUUAAAAGAUAGGUAGAAUUCACCCUUAAAUUUUACAAAAAAAAAAAAUCAAUUGCAAAUUCUCUCCCGAUCUUUUGGCAUCUAAGAAACCCUAGCAGACAUUCUAAAUCCUAAUUUAUAAGCACUUGAGCACUAUUUUCUUAAUAUCUCAAGAAUCCAAUACUCAAAUUUCAUCAAAAUUAUAUAAAAAAAUUACUUACAUGAAAUUACAUAUUUCCUGAAAUUUUGAGCUAAAACUUUGCCAAAUUGCUCAAGAUAUAGCUCAAGUUACAACCACUAGUAAAUCGGGUCACUUACUACCCUUAGAUUACAUGCGCUGACUUCAAAAUCCAAUAACUCCUUCUUUUCAACUUGGACUCUAGUAAGCAAUAUAUAAAAAGUGUAGCUGCAAAAGUGCUCUCUUCAGUUGCAAUCACCGAUCCUCAAUU